Molecule: unclassified non-coding RNA, 246 nt
Filed under: uncultured Ascomycota
Lineage: Eukaryota; Fungi; Ascomycota
Description: sequence contains ITS2
Rfam family: 5.8S ribosomal RNA (bases 1-52)
Source: RNAcentral
AACGCACAUUGCGCCCACUGGUAUUCCGGUGGGCAUGCCUGUCUGAGCGUCAGUAUAAUCUCAAGCAACCGCUUGGUAUUGGAGGAUGAUCUGCCUAGCAGUUCACUUCUUAAACUGAUUGGCAAGUUUACAUAGCAGCAAGCGUAGUAGAAAUACCAUCAGCUUAGUUACUCUGUAUAGCUUUGUCAAAAUCAAACUAUUCUAAGGUUUGACCUCAGAUCAGGUAAGGAUACCCCCUGAACUUAA